CUUGAGGAUUUUAGUGAUA
This 19-nucleotide small nuclear RNA is filed under the name Arabidopsis thaliana (thale cress). RNAcentral's name for it is "snRNA_07113". The record is from RNAcentral. Lineage: Eukaryota; Viridiplantae; Streptophyta; Magnoliopsida; Brassicales; Brassicaceae.